RNAcentral lists this non-coding RNA (202 nucleotides) under Pseudomonas fulva. RNAcentral also lists the same sequence under 1 other name. The record is from RNAcentral. Lineage: Bacteria; Pseudomonadati; Pseudomonadota; Gammaproteobacteria; Pseudomonadales; Pseudomonadaceae.
UCUUGGCCCGUUGUUUCAGGUGUCUCACGCCGCGGUGCGUGAGGUGAAACGGGAAGCCGGUUCGAGUCCGGCGCUGCCCCCGCAACGGUAAGCGAAUGCCAGGAUCGUUUUGGCCACUGUGCGCACGCAUGGGAAGGCCGAUCCCCAUCGCCGCAAGGUGAUCAUCGCGAGCCCGGAGACCGGCCUGGAUCCUCUGUUUGGC